Small nucleolar RNA from Octodon degus (degu), 132 nucleotides. Its record names the gene SNORA72. It matches the Rfam family "Small nucleolar RNA SNORA72". From Rfam's summary of the family: U72 is a member of the H/ACA class of snoRNAs. The snoRNA gene is located in intron 4 of the ribosomal L30 protein gene in human, mouse and chicken. The record is from Ensembl. NCBI's taxonomy places the organism in Eukaryota, Metazoa, Chordata, Mammalia, Rodentia, Octodontidae.
CUGUGAAUAUUCUUGCUGUUCUGAUUGUGUCAUAAUCAGGGCAGGCUAAAAAUUUGCUAUAGCAAGACCAUGCAUGUGUCCCCACACCUAGAUCUUUCCCUAGGUCUGGUUUUAUAAAUGCUGGUGAUAAAC